UGGGGGAUAUUGCACAAUGGGCGAAAGCCUGAUGCAGCGACGCCGCGUGGGGGAUGAAGGCUUUCGGGUUGUAAACCUCUUUCGCUAUCGAACAAGGCCCGCUUAGGGUGGGUUGAGGGUAGGUGGAGAAGAAGCGCCGGCUAACUACGUGCCAGCAGCCGCGGUAAUACGUAGGGCGCGAGCGUUGUCCGGAAUUAUUGGGCGUAAAGGGCUUGUAGGCGGUCUGUCAAGUCGGAUGUGAAAUCCCCGGGCUUAACCUGGGAACUGCAUUCGAAACUGGCAGGCUAGAGUCUUGUAGAGGGGGGUAGAAUUCCAGGUGUAGCGGUGAAAUGCGUAGAGAUCUGGAGGAAUACCGGUGGCGAAGGCGGCCCCCUGGACAAAGACUGACGCUCAGGUGCGAAAGCGUGGGGAGCAAACAGG
This 420-nucleotide ribosomal RNA is filed under the name Chloroflexota bacterium. Its description in RNAcentral is "Chloroflexi bacterium partial 16S ribosomal RNA". It matches the Rfam family "Bacterial small subunit ribosomal RNA", at positions 355 to 776 of the family's 1533-position model. The record is from RNAcentral. Lineage: Bacteria; Bacillati; Chloroflexota.